GCCUAGUAAGCUCAGUUGGUAGUGCGUCUGCCUUGUGAGCGCUAGGCCGCGGGUUCGAUUCCCGCCCGGGGCG
Molecule: transfer RNA, 73 nt
Filed under: Diaphorina citri (Asian citrus psyllid)
Lineage: Eukaryota; Metazoa; Arthropoda; Insecta; Hemiptera; Psyllidae
Rfam family: tRNA
About the family: Transfer RNA (tRNA) molecules are approximately 80 nucleotides in length. Their secondary structure includes four short double-helical elements and three loops (D, anti-codon, and T loops). Further hydrogen bonds mediate the characteristic L-shaped molecular structure. tRNAs have two regions of fundamental functional importance: the anti-codon, which is responsible for specific mRNA codon recognition, and the 3' end, to which the tRNAs corresponding amino acid is attached (by aminoacyl-tRNA synthetases). tRNAs cope with the degeneracy of the genetic code in two manners: having more than one tRNA (with a specific anti-codon) for a particular amino acid; and 'wobble' base-pairing, i.e. permitting non-standard base-pairing at the 3rd anti-codon position.
Source: Rfam by way of RNAcentral